This 451-nucleotide ribosomal RNA is filed under the name Rhodanobacter sp. RB1-9. Its description in RNAcentral is "bacterial SSU rRNA". It matches the Rfam family "Bacterial small subunit ribosomal RNA", at positions 30 to 476 of the family's 1533-position model. Lineage: Bacteria; Pseudomonadati; Pseudomonadota; Gammaproteobacteria; Lysobacterales; Rhodanobacteraceae. The record is from RNAcentral.
AUUGAACGCUGGCGGCAUGCCUAACACAUGCAAGUCGAACGGCAGCACAGAGGAGCUUGCUCCUUGGGUGGCGAGUGGCGGACGGGUGAGUAAUGCAUCGGGAUCUACCCUGACGUGGGGGAUAACCUCGGGAAACCGGGACUAAUACCGCAUACGUCCUACGGGAGAAAGCGGGGGACCUUCGGGCCUCGCGCGGCAGGACGAACCGAUGUGCGAUUAGCUAGUUGGCGGGGUAAUGGCCCACCAAGGCGACGAUCGCUAGCUGGUCUGAGAGGAUGAUCAGCCACACUGGGACUGAGACACGGCCCAGACUCCUACGGGAGGCAGCAGUGGGGAAUAUUGGACAAUGGGCGCAAGCCUGAUCCAGCAAUGCCGCGUGUGUGAAGAAGGCCUUCGGGUUGUAAAGCACUUUUAUCAGGAGCGAAAUCUGCAUGCUUAAUACGUGUGCAGU